This 442-nucleotide ribosomal RNA is filed under the name uncultured bacterium. RNAcentral describes it as "partial 16S ribosomal RNA". It matches the Rfam family "Bacterial small subunit ribosomal RNA", at positions 338 to 795 of the family's 1533-position model. The record is from RNAcentral.
CCUACGGGUGGCAGCAGUGGGGAAUAUUGGGCAAUGGGCGCAAGCCUGAUCCAGCAACGCCGCGUGAAGGAAGAAGGCUUUCGGGUUGUAAACUUCUUUCAGGAGGGAAGAGCAGAAGACGGUACCUCUUGAAAAAGAUACGGCUUACUACGAGCCAGCAGACGCGGUAAUACGUAGGUGGCAAGCGCUGUCCGGAUUUACUGGGUGUAAAGGGCGUGCAGGCGGGAGGACAAGUCAGAUGUGAAAUCGCGGGGCUUAACCGCGGAACUGCAUUUGAUACUGGUUAUCUUGAGUGCCGGAGAGGGCAGCGGAAUUCCUUGUGUAGCGGUGAAAUGCGUAGAUAUGAGGAAGAACACCAGUGGCGAAGGCGGAUGACUGGACGGCGACUGACGGUGAGGCGCGAAAGCGUGGGGAGCAAACAGGAUUAGAUACCCCUGUAGUC